This 433-nucleotide ribosomal RNA is filed under the name uncultured bacterium. RNAcentral's name for it is "partial 16S ribosomal RNA". It matches the Rfam family "Bacterial small subunit ribosomal RNA", at positions 29 to 507 of the family's 1533-position model. The record is from RNAcentral.
AGCGAACGCUGGCGGCAGGCCUAACACAUGCAAGUCGAACGGAUCCUUCGGGAUUAGUGGCGGACGGGUGAGUAACACGUGGGAACGUGCCCUUUGGUUCGGAACAACUCAGGGAAACUUGAGCUAAUACCGGAUGUGCCCUUCGGGGGAAAGAUUUAUCGCCAUUGGAGCGGCCCGCGUCUGAUUAGCUAGUUGGUGAGGUAACGGCCCACCAAGGCGACGAUCAGUAGCUGGUCUGAGAGGAUGAUCAGCCACACUGGGACUGAGACACGGCCCAGACUCCUACGGGAGGCAGCAGUGGGGAAUCUUGCGCAAUGGGCGAAAGCCUGACGCAGCCAUGCCGCGUGAAUGAUGAAGGUCUUAGGGUUGUAAAAUUCUUUCAGCGGGGACGAUAAUGACGGUACCCGCAGAAGAAGCUCCGGCUAACUUCGUG